GUGCCAGCCAUCUCUGAAAAAGUUCACUCUUCCUGUGCUCCUCCUUUGCAUCGAGUGCAUUCUUCAGGAUCAAACCAGCCAACCUACGGCUCUCCUCAGGUUUCUCAUCACUGGCCAACUCACUUGAGAGGGAGAACAAGAAACCUGGGAGGUUUUGUUCCUGAAACUGCUUGAGGCUUUCUUCAGCAUGCUUCCUAAUCGCGCCAUCGGCAGAUUGUGCACUCAAGAGUAUUUGAGUAACAUCCAGUGAC
This 251-nucleotide long non-coding RNA is filed under the name Brachypodium distachyon (stiff brome). RNAcentral's name for it is "long non-coding RNA (BDIS_LNC000563)". The record is from RNAcentral. Lineage: Eukaryota; Viridiplantae; Streptophyta; Magnoliopsida; Poales; Poaceae.